GACGAACGCUGGCGGCGUGCUUAACACAUGCAAGUCGAGCGGAGCGGCGAACGGGUGAGUAACGCGUGAGUAACUGCCCCCUUCUCUGGGAUAACAGCUGGAAACGGCUGCCAAUACCGGAUAGUGGGGGAUGACUCGCGGCCUAUGAGCUUGUCGGUGGGGUAGUGGCCUACCAAGGCGACGACGGGUAGCCGGCCUGAGAGGGGGACCAGCCACAGUGGGCGUAGGUGCGGCCCAAACUCCUACAGGAAGCAGCAGUGGAGAAUAUUACACAACGGGGGAAACUCUAGUGCAGCAAUCCGGGAGCGGGAUGACGGCCUUCAGGUUGUAAACCGCUUUCAGUCAUGACGCGGUAGUGGCAGAAGAAGCACCGGCUAACUACGUGCCAGCAGCCGCGGUAAUAC
This 404-nucleotide ribosomal RNA is filed under the name uncultured bacterium. RNAcentral describes it as "partial 16S ribosomal RNA". It matches the Rfam family "Bacterial small subunit ribosomal RNA", at positions 28 to 526 of the family's 1533-position model. The record is from RNAcentral.